Molecule: unclassified non-coding RNA, 381 nt
Filed under: uncultured Armatimonadota bacterium
Lineage: Bacteria; Bacillati; Armatimonadota
Description: uncultured Armatimonadetes bacterium contains 16S-23S intergenic spacer region
Source: RNAcentral
UCCGGCUUACACCGGCGGUCUCUUGUGAGUGCCCACCAUUACGUGCUGGUAACACAAGACGAGGGUUGCGCUCGUUGGCGGACUUAACCGUACACCUCACGGCACGAGCUGACGACAGCCAUGCAACAUCUGUUUUCAGGUCUCCUUGUGAGAGAGGGACGUAUCUCUACGUCUUUCCUUCAAUGUCAAGAGUGGGUAAGGUUCUUCGGUUAGUAUCGAAUUAAUCCACAUGCUCCACCGCUUGUGCGGGUCCCCGUCAAUUCCUUUGAGUUUUAGCCUUGCGGCCGUACUCCCCAGGCGGGGCACUUAGUGCGUUAGCGACGGCACGGGAGGAGUCGACACCUCCCACACCUAGUGCCCAUCGUUUACGGCGUGGACUAC